UCCUACGGGAGGCAGCAGUGGGGAAUCUUGCGCAAUGGGCGAAAGCCUGACGCAGCAACGCCGCGUGGAGGAUGAAGGCCCUUGGGUUGUAAACUCCUGUCGGCUGGGAAGAAGUCGUUCGCGGUCAAUACCCGCGGGCGUUGACUGUACCAGCAAAGGAAGCCCCGGCUAACUCUGUGCCAGCAGCCGCGGUAAUACAGAGGGGGCCAGCGUUAUUCGGAAUUAUUGGGCGUAAAGGGCGCGUAGGCGGCCAUGCGUGUCUUCCGUGAAAUCCCUCGGCUCAACCGAGGACGUGCGGAAGAAACUGCAAGGCUCGAGUCCAGAAGAGGGGGGCGGAAUUCCCAGUGUAGCGGUGAAAUGCGUAGAUAUUGGGAGGAACACCGGUGGCGAAGGCGGCCCCCUGGGCUGGUACUGACGCUGAUGCGCGAAAGCGUGGGUAGCAAACGGGAUUAGAAACCCUGGUAGUCCC
Molecule: ribosomal RNA, 469 nt
Filed under: uncultured bacterium
Lineage: Bacteria
Description: bacterial SSU rRNA
Rfam family: Bacterial small subunit ribosomal RNA
Source: RNAcentral